Molecule: ribosomal RNA, 499 nt
Filed under: uncultured bacterium
Lineage: Bacteria
Description: bacterial SSU rRNA
Rfam family: Bacterial small subunit ribosomal RNA
Source: RNAcentral
AUGAACGCUAGCUACAGGCUUAACACGUGCAAGUCAGGGGCAGCAUGAAUCAAGCUUGCUUGAUUGAUGGCGACCGGCGCACGGGUGCGUAACACGUAUCCAAUCUACCCAUGGCUCAGGGAUAGCCUUUCGAAAGAAAGAUUAAUACCUGAUGGUUUCAUGAGCCCGCAUGGACUUAUGAAUAAAGAUUUAUCGGCGAUGGAUGAGGAUGCGUCCGAUUAGAUAGUAGGCGGGGUAACGGCCCACCUAGUCGACGAUCGGUAGGGGCUCUGAGAGGAGGAUCCCCCACAUUGGAACUGAGACACGGUCCAAACUCCUACGGGAGGCAGCAGUGAGGAAUAUUGGUCAAUGGGCGAGAGCCUGAACCAGCCAAGUAGCGUGAGGGAAUGACUGCCCUAUGGGUUGUAAACCUCUUUUGUUUGGGAAUAAAGUGAGCCACGUGUGGCUUUUUGUAUGUACCUUACGAAUAAGCAUCGGCUAAUUCCGUGCCAGCAGCAGC